Molecule: ribosomal RNA, 285 nt
Filed under: uncultured bacterium
Lineage: Bacteria
Description: partial 16S ribosomal RNA
Rfam family: Bacterial small subunit ribosomal RNA
Source: RNAcentral
UGUCCUACGGGGGGCAGCAGUGAGGAAUAUUGGUCAAUGGGCUUACGCCUGAACCAGCCAAGUCGCGUGAGGGAAGACUGCCCUAUGGGUUGUAAACCUCUUUUGUCGGGGAGCAAAAAGCGGUACGUGUACCGCAUCGAGAGUACCCGGAGAAAAAGCAUCGGCUAACUCCGUGCCAGCAGCCGCGGUAAUACGGAGGAUGCGAGCGUUAUCCGGAUUUAUUGGGUUUAAAGGGUGCGCAGGCGGCGAGUUAAGUCAGCGGUACAAUUUCGGGGCUCAACCCCG